Trichosurus vulpecula (common brushtail) is the source of this 585-nucleotide long non-coding RNA. RefSeq lists it as uncharacterized. The transcript has 3 exons. The record is from RefSeq and is a predicted model, not a curated record. Lineage: Eukaryota; Metazoa; Chordata; Mammalia; Diprotodontia; Phalangeridae.
CUGGCCGUGCGCCCCAGCCGAGAUCAAAGUCCCGAGCAGAGCUACCGCCUCCCGGGCCUGGAGGCCCCAUUCCUUGAAGCUGACCAAACAGUGCCUUUCUGCAUCUGUCUGGAGAGUGUGUGUCUGCCUUCCAUCUCCCCCCAUAGAGUCUUUUUCAGAAAGUUUCAUAUCCAGUGCUUGCUUUUCCUUUUGAAUCAAUAAUCAAGCCCUAGCAUUUUCCUUGCCUGAGCCAUGGGAGUUGGAGAAGGGAAGAGAAAGAAACCAACCAGAUGUGUCUGAGUGAACCCACAUUCUCUCUAUGCAAUCUAUGGCUCUUUCCUGCCUCAGUGAACAGCUCUAAUGGGGAGGAGACAAGGACUGGCUUGUCUCAUACAUUGACUAGGAAGAAAGGCAGUUAGCCAGUGUGCCAAGCUCAAGGAAAGCCUCUCUGAAGGAUCAUCACUGAUUUCCAUCCCUCCUUUUGCCAUGGCCUGAAGACCAUCACAACGAAGGUCUAGUGACCAAGAUCCAGUUUUAUCUACCCCACUCCAGCAACUGAAACCCAAGUGGAUUCUUUCCCCUGUACACUCUUCCCCUAUAUCUCGC